Molecule: ribosomal RNA, 200 nt
Filed under: uncultured bacterium
Lineage: Bacteria
Description: partial 16S ribosomal RNA
Rfam family: Bacterial small subunit ribosomal RNA
Source: RNAcentral
UACAGAGGGGGCUAGCGUUGCUCGGAAUUACUGGGCGUAAAGCGCACGUAGGCGGCUUUCUAAGUCGGGGGUGAAAUCCUGGAGCUCAACUCCAGAACUGCCUUCGAUACUGGAAAGCUCGAGUCCGGGAGAGGUGAGUGGAACUGCGAGUGUAGAGGUGAAAUUCGUAGAUAUUCGCAAGAACACCAGUGGCGAAGGCG